ACGCUUGUUUUUGAGAUUAAGCCAUGCAAAUGUAAGUUUAACUUUUUAAAAGAGAAAACGGUGAUCGGCUCCAUAAAUCAAUUUUAAUUUAGAUGGGAUUGGAGGAUCGGCUGAGAAAAAGCUGAUCAACUAGAAGGAUAUUUAUGGUAAUUCUAUAAUUAAUACUUGAAAGACGAGGGAGCGGAGCUUUCGGGCGCCGUUCUUGGGAAUUGAAGAAAAAUCGGGGCGUUUCGGCGCAACGGUUCUGUUGAAUCAUUCAAUUCAUGUAGCUUGUGAGGCUUGCUUGAAAUAUUGAGCAGCCCGACCCAUUCAAGAUUUUGAUUUAUUAGGUUUAGUUGAGAGUGUAUUGGACUCUCAAGCCAAUAAUGAAUACGAGAAAUUAGAGUUUGAUUUCGGAGAGACCGCCUUAAAAACGGCGAUCACUUCUAAGGAAGGCAGCAGGUGCGCAAAUUAUUCAAUCGGGACGGAUCCGGAGAUAGUGACAAAAAAUAAGAAAAACCGAGUGCUUUCAAAGCGCUGGUUUAUUCCAAUGAAUUUAAGGUAAAAAUAUACUUAUGAGUAACAAGUAAAGGGCAAGUCUGGUGCCAGCAGCCGCGGUAAUUCCAGCUUUAUGAGUGUAUGUCAAAGUUGUUGUAGUUAAAAAGCUCGUAGUUGAAAUUGGGAGUUGUGCAGGCAACUGCAGCGGUGGCGUGUUUGGCGAGGCGUUUUGGUCGCAAGACCGGCGCAGCGCUCGCGUCACCAACAGCUCUUUUAAGUGGAGCGUCGAGUCUGCAAAGGCGCGGUGCUCUGGUUUAUUUUGAAAAAAUUGGACCGAUCAAAAGAGGAUUUUGAUUCAAAUCAAAACUUUUUUUAAUCUUUUAAACAUUUUAGCAUGAGAUAAUGGAAGAAGACAGUUGGUGCGGCGGCGAGCGAUCGUCGGCGCAAACAUGCAAUUGUAAUGAUGAAUAGGGAUAAUUUGGGAUAUAUAUAUUAAGAAGUUAGAGGUGAAAUUCUUGGAUUUUCUUAAGAUAAACAUAUGCGAAAGCAUUUAUCAAGGAUAUUUUCGUUGAUCAAGAACUAAAGAAUGAGGAUCGAAGAUGAUUAGAUACCGUUGUAGUUCAUUCUGUAAACAAUAAGAAGAAAAGAUAUGUGAACGAGGGGAAGUCGGCGGCGUGCCUCGCGCAGCGGUCGAUGAAACGUCU
This 1181-nucleotide ribosomal RNA is filed under the name uncultured amoeba. Its description in RNAcentral is "SSU rRNA". It matches the Rfam family "Eukaryotic small subunit ribosomal RNA", at positions 28 to 1076 of the family's 1831-position model. The record is from RNAcentral.